GUGUUUGUAGGUGCUGCUGCCGCUGGCUGUGUGGGGGACCCAGCUGUGAGGCCGUGGCCAGGGUGGAGCUCAGGAUGGAGGAGGGUGACCUGGGGAGGAGAGGCCGUGGCCGUGGUGCAGCUCCAGUCCGCCACCUGCUGGUGAUGCAGAGGAUGACGAGAGCCCAGCAGGUAGCGGUCGGCGUCUGAGCGGGGCAAGAAGUCGGAUCAGGCUGUGGACGGCGUGGAGAGCGGGUCGGAGGAGGUGACGCCGAGGCCCUGAUCCGGAGGACCGAUUGAGAGGAGGCGAGCGAGGGCGACUCCAGGCGACGUGAUGCAGCGUUCCUGUCCUAAUAAAAACAUGCACGUGUGUGUUUGUUUUUUCUCUCUGUGUGUCUGUCUGUUUGUUUGUCUGUCUGUGUUAGGUGUAGUUGUGCUAGGCGUGGUUUGGUGGCCACCUGUUU
Long non-coding RNA from Toxotes jaculatrix (banded archerfish), 442 nucleotides. RefSeq lists it as uncharacterized. The transcript is spliced from 4 exons. NCBI's taxonomy places the organism in Eukaryota, Metazoa, Chordata, Actinopteri, Toxotidae. The record is from RefSeq and is a predicted model, not a curated record.